AGUGAACGCUGGCGGUAGGCCUAACACAUGCAAGUCGAACGGCAGCACAGUAAGAGCUUGCUCUUACGGGUGGCGAGUGGCGGACGGGUGAGGAAUACAUCGGAAUCUACUUUUUCGUGGGGGAUAACGUAGGGAAACUUACGCUAAUACCGCAUACGACCUACGGGUGAAAGCAGGGGAUCUUCGGACCUUGCGCGAUUGAAUGAGCCGAUGUCGGAUUAGCUAGUUGGCGGGGUAAAGGCCCACCAAGGCGACGAUCCGUAGCUGGUCUGAGAGGAUGAUCAGCCACACUGGAACUGAGACACGGUCCAGACUCCUACGGGAGGCAGCAGUGGGGAAUAUUGGACAAGGGGCGCAAGCCUGAUCCAGCUAUACCGCGUGGGUGAAGAAGGCCUUCGGGUUGUAAAGCCCUUUUGUUGGGAAAGAAAAGCAGCAGGUUAAUACCCCGCUGUUCUGACGGUACCCAAAGAAUAAGCACCGGCUAACUUCGUG
Molecule: ribosomal RNA, 492 nt
Filed under: uncultured bacterium
Lineage: Bacteria
Description: partial 16S ribosomal RNA
Rfam family: Bacterial small subunit ribosomal RNA
Source: RNAcentral